UUGAACCCGGGUACGUGGUGCUGAGAGGUAGCAGUGCUUACCACUGAGCCCACGGUGUGUCAGGUCUCCCAAUUGCGCACCUCUCAGUCUGAAGCCUUCACUCAAAAUCUUUUUCUCCAUUUUGUGUUUAAUGCUUUUACAUUUCAUUCGUUUUCUUUUAGUUCUCCCUUAUUUAGCCCAUACAUUUCCAACAAAGAAAAUCUGUGUAUAUCUUUAUGUCUGUUUGAAAGGGCUUAACGAUUUGAAUGUAAGCAUAAGAGUUCAAGGGAGCUACCUUUUGAGUCUGCGCACUCUCCUCUCACUCGAUAAUCCUCCGCUAUUCCAAACUUCACUUUGACCUACUCCAUGUCCGUACAUAUUCCCCUGAUGUUUAAUCCAUAGCUGAGUAAUCCUAUGUACUUGUCACUCCACAUUCAUCUAUUACACCUAUUGCCCAGUGCUGCUAAUUCUGCUGCCACUUCAUACUCUCCUGGAACCAGCAGCUCAGUUCUUACUCCAGACUUCCCUACCACUUGCAGUUCUGUUGUAACUGUACAUACUCCUAGCACUCCUGGCACCACCAUUAAUCUGAGGACCUCAUGACUUCAGCCCCUCUGUCACUUGCUGCUCAAUUGUGGAUCUUGGCUUCAAAUCACUCUCAACUCCGCUACCUCUCAGCUCCAUUGUCAAACCCGUUUUCUCGAAAUCUCUCCCCGAGCACUGAAACCCACCACUUUUUUCAGUAUUAUGAACUAUGUUAAAUAUUCUAUACAGACUAUUUUCUAAUUCUCUCUGUCUCACACAGGCACACACACACGUACCUGGAAUGAAUCAGUUUUGCAACAAAAAAUUGUUAGAAAUUUAGAAGCAAUGUUUGUCUUUUCGUGAUUGAUGUAGGAUGUUUCAAUCUCACAUUAUGGAAUAUAAAAGAAAGAUCAGUCUCUAUUCUGUGGUGAUCUCAUGAAUGUAGCUUCAUGCACUGAGCUUACACAUAUGUAUCUUUUGGUAUGAGGAAUGAUGAUGUGGAUGUGCUGCUAUUGGACUAGGAUGAACAAAGUCAGAAGUCAUACGACAUCAGGUUAAAGUCAACAGGGUUAUUUGAAAUCACAAGCUUUUGGAGAGCUGGUCAUUAGACAGAUUAAGGCAUUGUAGGAGCAGCAUUCCAAAAGGUUAUGAUUUCAGAUAAACUGAUUGGUGUCAUGCAACAUCCAGUUUGAGGAAUGUGUUUUCGCUGGCCUUUGCAUUUCAUGUUUUGAGAUAGUUCAGACUCUUUCUUUUUGUAAUUCAAAUGCAAUCAUUUCCAUAGAAGAGCAUAUGUGAAAAUCUCAACAGAUUUUGAAUCAAACUGAUGUCUUCUCCUAUUAGCCAAUGCCUAGUGUUUUGUUUUUUUUCCUUGCUUUUAGCCAACACAACAACAAUUUUCAUCUUGUCUCAGAAUAAAGCACUGGCUCAGACCACAGUAGAAUCUAUGCAAACACUUGCAUUUAAAAAGCUGAAACUGACCCUGAUUGUGCGGUCCUGUCUCAGGCCAUUGAUGGCUGAGCGACAGUAAAAUAGCUUGAUUUAGAAAGAUGAUUCGUUGGUUACGAAGGUCUGCAAUGACUAUGAUGUGUACUGCACAAAUGCCAGAAGUUGAGGCAAUUCCUGAUUUCUAACUGGUGGUUGAUUCAGUGAGCAGACAUGCUUUAUGUUGUUGCUCUGACAUAAAAGGAACAAGCUGCUCAGUUAAACGACAGAAGGAGAUUCAAAACACACUAUAUCAAUAAUGUAAGGACUCAGUUCAUAAUUUUGUCACGACUGGAGAAUCUAAAAUCGAUCCUUUUGGAUCAGGAGGGAUUUUACAGUCUCUGUUCAAUCAGUAAGUAGAGAUCACUCGAUGUGGCUGAUCUGCGUGAUUUUUACUGUAAUUCAGCUAAUAAGGCUAAAUAAUGAAAUAUAAAUACAACAAACAUUUUAUUCAUCAGUACGUAUGUCAGAUGAUCAAUUGGUCCAAAAUGUAAAAAACACACAAUAAGUACAAGAAACAUAAUACAGGGGCAUACACAUCACAUUAUUUAUGUCAUAAAUCCCCUGAAAUAAUAAUGCUACUUGCCUUUAAAACUUCUCCGCAGAGUGGACUCUUAACUGACUACAUUGAGAUGGUGAUAAUACAGUAAACAUCCGUCAUUUCGGGGACUCUAUAACAAUGGUAUCACAGAUGCUUGUGCUGAGGAUCUCACCUUGGCUCUCAGUGCUGAUUGCUGAUGUAUCUGAAUGCGGGUAAUGAUAAACUGAGAGAUCCAGGAAUGAAGCUACAGUUGCCGGUUUGGAAAAAUCAGGGUUGCACAAUAUAGACACGAAUGUUUGGAUCAGACAAUUCAGCAAGAAUGAGUGAAGAUAAUCCUGGAUUUGCCUGUUCAACUCUUGCCUGCAGUGAACAAUGAUACUUUGCUUUGGAUUCAUUCUUCGCCCAACUGAAGACAAAUACUGACAAAUUGCGUGUUCUCCUUUUCUGUUCGUUCAGUUCCUCACCUGGACACCUCGUUCCAUUAUAAGCUGCAUCAAAUGUUGACUCUCAGUCACUUGGAUUUAAACACCAACUGAUACAUUUUUACAAAUGGAUAUUUUGCAGCAUUCUUUAUCUGGUGUCUGAAAUUAUUUUGUGUCACCACAUAAAUAAAUGCAUUUGUGCAACAACUUAA
This is a non-coding RNA of Chiloscyllium plagiosum (whitespotted bambooshark), 2660 nucleotides long. The record is from RefSeq and is a predicted model, not a curated record. Lineage: Eukaryota; Metazoa; Chordata; Chondrichthyes; Orectolobiformes; Hemiscylliidae.